CAUACCUAGGGAUUUGCCCACUGAUGAGGGUCCUUCAGCCUCAGCACACAAUCUAAGCAGGUUGCCAGCAAAGGAGCUGUAUAAGGUCCAUCUUCAAAAACAAAUAAGAAAAAGUGACAUGGAGAUGGACCUUAUACAGCUUCAAAUGGAAGAGAAAAGGCUCCUCAUUAAAAAAGCAGCACUUGAAAUAGAAUUACUUGAGAAUCGCCUUAAGGUGAGAACUUGUCUGAAUAUUAAUCUGUUGCAUGUUAAAAGUGGUCUGUCUGUCUGUGUCUGUCUCUAUCUAUCUAUCUAUCUAUCUAUCUAUCUAUCUAUCUA
This is a long non-coding RNA of Carassius carassius (crucian carp), 318 nucleotides long. RefSeq lists it as uncharacterized. The record is from RefSeq and is a predicted model, not a curated record. Lineage: Eukaryota; Metazoa; Chordata; Actinopteri; Cypriniformes; Cyprinidae. The transcript has 2 exons.